Molecule: ribosomal RNA, 676 nt
Filed under: uncultured archaeon
Lineage: Archaea
Description: bacterial SSU rRNA
Rfam family: Archaeal small subunit ribosomal RNA
Source: RNAcentral
UCCGAGUGGUUUCUGCUAAAGAAACCUUUUGUUAGUCCUAGAAACACUAACGAAUAAGGGGUGGGCAAGUUCUGGUGUCAGCCGCCGCGGUAAAACCAGCACCUCAAGUGGUCAGGAUGAUUAUUGGGCCUAAAGCAUCCGUAGCUCGUUUUGUAAGUUUUCGGUUAAAUCCAUGCGCUUAACGUAUGGGCUGCCGGGAAUACUGCAUAGCUAGGAAGUGGGAGAGGUAGACGGUACUCGGGAGGAAGGGGUAAAAUCCUUUGAUCUCUUGAUGACCACCUGUGGCGAAGGCGGUCUACCAGAACACGUUCGACGGUGAGGGAUGAAAGCUGGGGGAGCAAACCGGAUUAGAUACCCGGGUAGUCCCAGCUGUAAACUAUGCAAACUCAGUGAUGCAUUGGCUUGUGGCCAAUGCAGUGCUGCAGGGAAGCCGUUAAGUUUGCCGCCUGGGAAGUACGUACGCAAGUAUGAAACUUAAAGGAAUUGGCGGGGGAGCACCACAAGGGGUGAAGCCUGCGGUUCAAUUGGAGUCAACGCCAGAAAUCUUACCCGGAGAGACAGCAGAAUGAAGGUCAAGCUGAAGACUUUACCAGACAAGCUGAGGGGUGGUGCAUGGCCGUCGCCAGCUCGUGCCGUGAGAUGUCCUGUUAAGUCAGGUAACGAGCGAGAUCCCUGC